This 207-nucleotide ribosomal RNA is filed under the name uncultured bacterium. RNAcentral's name for it is "partial 16S ribosomal RNA". It matches the Rfam family "Bacterial small subunit ribosomal RNA", at positions 1295 to 1500 of the family's 1533-position model. The record is from RNAcentral.
GGAUUGCAGGCUGCAACUCGCCUGCAUGAAGUUGGAAUUGCUAGUAAUCGCGGAUCAGCAUGCCGCGGUGAAUACGUUCCCGGGCCUUGUACACACCGCCCGUCACACCAUGGGAGCCGGUAAUACCCGAAGUCAGUAGCCUAACCGCAAGGGGGGGCGCUGCCGAAGGUAGGAUUGGCGACUGGGGUGAAGUCGUAACAAGGUACC